Molecule: small nucleolar RNA, 78 nt
Organism: Telopea speciosissima
Lineage: Eukaryota; Viridiplantae; Streptophyta; Magnoliopsida; Proteales; Proteaceae
Product: small nucleolar RNA J33
Exons: 1
Source: RefSeq, a predicted model, not a curated record
CAGUAAGAGGGAUGAUGUACUACCGUAGGGCUUUAAAGCUUCAGGCUUUCCUUGACAUGGCCUCUGAACCUGGUACUG